This 430-nucleotide unclassified non-coding RNA is filed under the name soil metagenome. RNAcentral's name for it is "partial contains 5.8S ribosomal RNA, internal transcribed spacer 2, and large subunit ribosomal RNA". The stretch from base 1 to 120 matches the Rfam family "5.8S ribosomal RNA", at positions 35 to 154 of the family's 154-position model. The record is from RNAcentral.
GAUGAAGAACGUAGUGAAAUGCGAUACGUAAUGUGAAUUGCAGAAUUCAGUGAAUCAUCGAAUCUUUGAACGCAUAUUGCGCUCUCUGGUAUUCCGGAGAGCAUGCUUGUUUGAGUAUCAGUAAACACCUCAACUUCCAUAUCUUUUUUGAAAUGGGAGUUGGACUUGAGUGAUCCCAACGCUUUUCCUCACCGAAAAGUGGCGGGUUACUUGAAAUGCAGGUGCAGCUGGACUUUUCUCUGAGCUAUAAGCAUAUCUAUUUAGUCUGCCUAAAAAACAGAUUAUUACCUUUGCUGCAGCUAACAUAAAGGAGAUUAGUUCUUGUGCUGACUGAUGCAGGAUUCACAAAGACGGCUUCGGCCGACUUUGUAAACUCGAUCUCAAAUCAAGUAAGACUACCCGCUGAACUUAAGCAUAUCUAAGCGGAGGA